Molecule: ribosomal RNA, 328 nt
Filed under: uncultured eukaryote
Lineage: Eukaryota
Description: partial 18S ribosomal RNA
Rfam family: Eukaryotic small subunit ribosomal RNA
Source: RNAcentral
CCCUUAGAUGUUCUGGGCCGCACGCGCGCUACACUGAUGCAUGCAACGAGUUUAUAACCUUGGCCUGAAAGGUCUGGGUAAUCUUUUGAACGUGCAUCGUGAUAGGGAUAGAUUAUUGCAAUUGUUAAUCUUGAACGAGGAAUUCCUAGUAAACGCGAGUCAUCGGCUCGCAUUGAUUACGUCCCUGCCCUUUGUACACACCGCCCGUCGCACCUACCGAUUGAAUGGUUCGGUGAAGAUCUCGGACUUCGAUAUUUAUUCUUUAUUGAGUUUAUAUUGUGGGAAGUUAUCUAAACCUCAUCAUUUAGAGGAAGGUGAAGUCGUAACA